This is a small nucleolar RNA of Caenorhabditis elegans, 213 nucleotides long. The record is from Ensembl. NCBI's taxonomy places the organism in Eukaryota, Metazoa, Nematoda, Chromadorea, Rhabditida, Rhabditidae.
GCGGCACGCUUUUUUCUCGCUUUUUUCAUGCGGUAAUUUUCAGUUAUUUUUAUUCGUUUUCUGUUCGAAAUUUCACGAUUUCGCUCGAUUUUGUUCGUUUUUUCGGAUAAAAAAGUGUCUAUUUUUAAAUGAAAAAUAACCAAGUUUUAUCAGUUUUUACUUGAAAAAAUGCUUCGUUUGUCUCUUUUUCUGUAAUAUACGAAGCAAAACGUU